GUCCGUGGUCCAUUUGAAAGGUACACCAUGCCUCCAAAGGUGACAGCAUCACAUGAAAAAUGCAGAUUUGGGAUAUACACUUUUGAUGAUAUUUCAGGAUGGACUACGGACACUUGAGGUGCUGGACAAAAUCCAAGCUCACCCAGAGAGUUUUCGCACCCUUCUAUGCUGGUCACCUUCAGUGCUUACAGCUGACCUUCUUGACAGCCUCUUUACCAUCCGCCUUUCUCCAGCUGGGAGCAAUAAAAGGCAUGCUGAAGCAGUUGUCAUUAGUUUCUGGAGAGACUACCUAACAGAUGCAGAAG
This is a long non-coding RNA of Astatotilapia calliptera (eastern happy), 305 nucleotides long. The record is from Ensembl. NCBI's taxonomy places the organism in Eukaryota, Metazoa, Chordata, Actinopteri, Cichliformes, Cichlidae.